This 455-nucleotide long non-coding RNA is filed under the name Bos taurus (domestic cattle). Its description in RNAcentral is "long non-coding RNA NONBTAT001470". The record is from RNAcentral. Lineage: Eukaryota; Metazoa; Chordata; Mammalia; Artiodactyla; Bovidae.
GGUAACUACUUAAAUCCUGUAAAGUGAGCAGUUUUCUUAUAAUGUGAAUAUAAUCACACCAAUGAAUCUAAUCUGCAAACAAAGUUUUUCUUUUUUUUCACCAGUUAGAUAUAUAGAUAGAAGACAGAAUAGGAUAGAUAGAAGGUUAAAUAAGGGGUUAGUUUUUCUUUCUAUACUUUCUAUCUGAUUGUAUUUAAUCUUUCCAAAGCAUUUUUUCUUUUUAUUGAGGACCAACUCUGACUUUAACUGUGUAUGGAAGUGUUUGGAGCCCUAAGCUUUACAAGAGACUCUGCAGUAUAACCCAUCCUUGAUCCUUAAGACUAUAGAGUGUAGUCUGGAUAGCCAGAGGCCAGGUGGCCGGGGAACCACCUAGUCAAGGAACCUUUUCACAAAACAAGUUUGAGGAUUCCUUCAACUUGAUUUCCUCUAGUUGGAGUUCUUUACCUCCCCUCCCU